Salarias fasciatus (jewelled blenny) is the source of this 114-nucleotide long non-coding RNA. RefSeq lists it as uncharacterized. The transcript has 3 exons. The record is from RefSeq and is a predicted model, not a curated record. NCBI's taxonomy places the organism in Eukaryota, Metazoa, Chordata, Actinopteri, Blenniiformes, Blenniidae.
UGCAAAUUCCCCCCAUAAACACGGCUUUAACAGCUCUUACUUGCAUUGAAGCUGCCUCUGAGUACAUCCGUUUCGCUCAUAUAUACAAUGUCCCGUAUUUCUGCAUGCGGAUUG